UGAGGAAUAUUGGUCAAUGGGCGGGAGCCUGAACCAGCCAAGCCGCGUGAGGGAAGACGGUCCUAUGGAUUGUAAACCUCUUUUGCCGGGGAGCAAAGAGCGGUACGUGUACCGCGCCGAGAGUACCCGGAGAAAAAGCAUCGGCUAACUCCGUGCC
RNAcentral lists this ribosomal RNA (157 nucleotides) under uncultured bacterium. RNAcentral describes it as "partial 16S ribosomal RNA". It matches the Rfam family "Bacterial small subunit ribosomal RNA", at positions 355 to 509 of the family's 1533-position model. The record is from RNAcentral.